GAUGACCACGGGGAGGCAGAAGAACAGCACGAGGAAAUCCCAGAAAGCCAGCCCCGCGAGGAUGCAGUUCCAAGCGCUUUUCAGGUACAUGUUGUGCCACACAGUGCACAUGAGCGCGAGGUUCCCAACGAUGCCCGUGGCGAACAACACGAGCGCAAGCAGCAUGACCGCGUACGCUGCGUAGGAGCCGUCGGUGACCGGGAACAGCGGAUUGAGGAGCCCCGACCCGCGGACUGACGAGGAGUUAGUAACGGGCCGGGCUGAGGAGGCUGCCCGCGGGGUGGUGGUGAAGUACCCGCUCGGAUCGUCGUACCGUCGCCCGUUACUGCUCGGAAGCGAGAGUCCAUCCGGAAACGCUCGUCCGUCCCGAAGCGAGACUGCAGUGCCAUCAGCUGGACAACACACAAACAAACAACAGCCUGAUGUCAAACCUGCUGCCAUCCUCCUCUUCAUCAGCAUCCUCCUCAUCGCCGCCAAACAGCUUGGUGCCCGACGGCUUCAGACGCACCAGAUGACACACACAAACACACACAGUUAAAAAGCUGCCGAUUACAGAGCUAAUUUCAAAUGUGUUACUUCCGCGAGAAAGGAAAAGGUUUCCAUUAGUGUCAUCAAGAUGCUGGGAUUAGACAAUAACUUGAAAAAUAUCAAUAUUCAGUAAAAUAGGGGAAAUGACAGAGCUUUGAGGACAUUACAUUUAAAGGUUAUUGUUAAAAGAUAUAUAUAUAAAAAGUUAAUGACAUGACAACAAUUAAUUUUCUAUUAUUGGUUAGUAUCAUAAAACAGCAAAGUGGCUGUAGAAAACAUCAACAAUAAUUCAUAUUUCUUACAUUUAAAAAAAGGGGGAAAAGGCAGCUGGUACAGUUGUAUUCAAAAUGAGGGUAAACCGUUUCAGGUAUACAGAAUUGAUAUUUUUGGAAAAUCUAAAUUAUUGUCACAAGUCACUAUGAUCCAUAACAUAUCUUCUAAGUAUUCCUGAUUCAAUUUUGUUUUUGAUAAGGAAUAAAUGCAUUUGUCUAAAUAUUUUCUAACAUCAGUAACUCUUCUCUCACCUUUUCUUUUGUUGUGGCCUUCUUAUGACCUGGUGCCUCGUCCUCUGAUUGGCUGUCCUGGAACAGCGUUUUCUUUAGCGUU
This is a long non-coding RNA of Eleginops maclovinus (Patagonian blennie), 1134 nucleotides long. RefSeq lists it as uncharacterized. The record is from RefSeq and is a predicted model, not a curated record. NCBI's taxonomy places the organism in Eukaryota, Metazoa, Chordata, Actinopteri, Perciformes, Eleginopidae. The transcript has 3 exons.